UAUGCUCCAUUAUUUGGGGGACAAAUAUUAAAAAUUGUUAUUUCCUGUUGUUGUAUGAUUCCCUAACACAGUUUGAAGUGACUGUUUUUGUCUCUUCUGAUUAACUUUGGCUUGAAGUUCACUUUAUCUGAUAUAUGGAGAACAGAAACCCCUGCUUGUUUAUGAGAUUCUUGUGAGUGGUAUGUUUUUUCCCAUACUUUUACUUUUAGUCUGUGCAUGUCUUUGCCUGUGAGGUGAGCCUCUUGGAGAGAGCAUAUUGUUGGGUCCUGUUUUUUUAAUGUAACCUGCCAGCCUAUGCUUUUUGAUGGAUGAGUUUACUCCAUUUAAAUUAUUAUUAUUUAGAGAUGAUUUUUAUUCCCUGAAGUUUUGAUUUAUUUCUAAUUUAACUUGAAUUUGACACUCGUUUGAUAGACUGUCCUCCCUCUGCUGGUUUUCACUUUUAAUUUUCAUUUCUAAUUCAUGAAAUAGUUUAGUGAGUAUGUCUUGUAGUGCAGGUUUUCUAGUUGUGAAUUCUUUUAGCUUUUGUUUAUGGUGGAAGGUUUUUAUUUCGUUUUCAAUUCUGAAGCUUAAUUUUGCUAGGUACAGUAUUCUUGGUUGGCAUCCAUUUUCUUUCAGAGCUUGGUAUGUAUUAUUCUAAGAUCUCCUAGCUUUUAGGGUUGGGUUUAGAAAUCAGUUGAGAUCUGGAUUGGUUUACCAUAUAAAUGCGACCAUUUCAUUUUUCUUGGGCUGCUUUUAAAAAUUCUAUUGCUAUUUGUAUGUUUGGCAUUUUCAUAAUAAUGUGCCUUGGGGUGGAUCUAUUGUAAUUUUGUAUAUUUGGAGUGCUGUAUGCCUCCUGGAUUUGAAGUUCAAUUUCCUUCUUAGGGCUGGGAAAUUUUUCUGAUAUUAUUUCAUUGAAAAGAUUGUGCAUUCUUACUUUGUAUUUCAGAGCCUUCAUCUGUCCUUAUAUAUCUUAAAUUUGGCCUUUUAAUGCUACCCCAUAUUUCUUGAAUAUUCCAUUCAUUGUCUCUUAAUAUGUUUUCUCUAUGUUCAAUAUCAUAUGCUUUAUCUUUGAUGACUGAAAAUCUGUGUUCCCAGUGGUCUAGUCUAUUGGUGAUGUUUUCCAUUGAAUUUUUAAUUUGGGUUAUUGAGUCCUUCAUUUUGAGGAUUUAUGAUUGAUUCG
RNAcentral lists this long non-coding RNA (1159 nucleotides) under Marmota monax (woodchuck). Lineage: Eukaryota; Metazoa; Chordata; Mammalia; Rodentia; Sciuridae. The record is from RNAcentral.